This 505-nucleotide ribosomal RNA is filed under the name uncultured bacterium. Its description in RNAcentral is "partial 16S ribosomal RNA". It matches the Rfam family "Bacterial small subunit ribosomal RNA", at positions 28 to 507 of the family's 1533-position model. The record is from RNAcentral.
GACGAACGCUGGCGGCGUGCUUAAUACAUGCAAGUAGAACGCACAGUCUAUACCGUUGUUUGCUACACCAUAGACGGUGAGUUGCGUACGGGUUAGUAACGCGUAGGUAACCUGUCUGGUAGCGGGGGAUAACUAUUGGAAACGAUAGCUAAUACCGCAUAAUAUUAAUUAUUGCAUGAUAAUUUAUUGAAAGGUGCAAUUGCACCACUACUAGUUGGACCUGCGUUGUAUUAGUUAGUAGGCGAGGUAACGGCUCACCUUGGCGGCGAUACAUAGCCGACCUGAGAGGGCGGGCGGCCACACUGAGAGUGUGACAGGGCACAGAGGCCUAGAGGAAGCAGCAGUAGGGAUUCUUGAGCAAUGGGCGAGAGUCUGACCGAGCUACGCGGCAGGAGGAAGGAAGAUUUCCGGAUCGUGGAGCACUGUUGUAGGGGAGGAACCGGUGUGAGAGUGGAAAGAUCACACUGUGACGGUAUCUGACCAGGAAGGGACGGCUAACUACGUG